This 471-nucleotide ribosomal RNA is filed under the name uncultured bacterium. RNAcentral's name for it is "partial 16S ribosomal RNA". It matches the Rfam family "Bacterial small subunit ribosomal RNA", at positions 28 to 507 of the family's 1533-position model. The record is from RNAcentral.
GACGAACGCUGGCGGCGUGCUUAACACAUGCAAGUCGAACGAUGAAGCGGUGCUUGCACCGUGGAUUAGUGGCGAACGGGUGAGUAAUACGUAAGUGACCUACCUUUGACUCUGGGAUAAGCCUGGGAAACUGGGUCUAAUACCGGAUACGACCAAUCUCUGCAUGGGGUGUUGGUGGAAAGCGUUAUGGAGUGGUUUUAGAUGGGCUCACGGCCUAUCAGCUUGUUGGUGAGGUAAUGGCUUACCAAGGCGACGACGGGUAGCCGGCCUGAGAGGGUGACCGGCCACACUGGGACUGAGACACGGCCCAGACUCCUACGGGAGGCAGCAGUGGGGAAUAUUGCACAAUGGGCGCAAGCCUGAUGCAGCGACGCCGCGUGAGGGAUGACGGCCUUCGGGUUGUAAACCUCUGUUAGCAUCGAAGAAGCGAAAGUGACGGUAGGUGCAGAGAAAGCGCCGGCUAACUACGUG